UUGAAGGCAGAUGACACACACCUCUGCUCUGCCUUACUUUGUUGGUGUUUCUGUUGGAUUUAUAGUGUUUUCUUUUGUGUGUGUGUGAGUGACGCUGAACCAGAGGCCGACAGUGCUUGCAGGAGGUGCUGAAGGUGCUUUGAACGAGCAAGAGAGGUAGAGGGAGCGAUGACCCCCACUACACCAACACCUUGGACAUCGGGUUUCAGUCAUGAAGUUUGUGGUGGAGCAUGUGAGCAAGGAUUGAGGACGGCUAGGCAGACAGAGUGGUUUUCGCAGCCACCCUGAUAGUAUCCACACCACUGCACUCUCCAUUAUUUCCACCAUCGAAAGCAGUGCACCUCAUCUCACGCAGUGACAGCCCCCCAGUGUUUGAAGACUGUGGUCGUUUGUGCCUGGAGAAGAGAGCAAGUCGCUUUCGUCCGUGGGCCGAGGCAGAAUCUUCAUCAUCAUCAUCAGGCAGUCCAGGCAAAUAUGGCCCAUUGACCAACACUUAUCAACACUGGACCCACUAAGCUCCUACUCCUACUCCUGAAUGAAGUCAUCUUGUCUCAGUGAUGCUCAACACCACAUAACAACAACCCUACAAUGUAAUCCUACCUACACAGUACUUAUAUUCUAAGCAAUAAAGUUUUUGCAAGUGAU
RNAcentral lists this long non-coding RNA (645 nucleotides) under Portunus trituberculatus (swimming crab). RNAcentral describes it as "uncharacterized LOC123516557, transcript variant X3". Lineage: Eukaryota; Metazoa; Arthropoda; Malacostraca; Decapoda; Portunidae. The record is from RNAcentral.